AUGAACGCCGGCGGCGUGCCUCAUCCCUGCCAGUCGAGCGAACAGACGAGGAGCUUGCUCCUCUGACGUUAGCGGCGGACGGGUGAGUAACACGUGGAUAACCUACCUAUAAGACUGGGAUAACUUCGGGAAACCGGAGCUAAUACCGGAUAAUAUAUUGAACCGCAUGGUUCAAUAGUGAAAGACGGUUUUGCUGUCACUUAUAGAUGGAUCCGCGCCGCAUUAGCUAGUUGGUAAGGUAACGGCUUACCAAGGCAACGAUGCGUAGCCGACCUGAGAGGGUGAUCGGCCACACUGGAACUGAGACACGGUCCAGACUCCUACGGGAGGCAGCAGUAGGGAAUCUUCCGCAAUGGGCGAAAGCCUGACGGAGCAACGCCGCGUGAGUGAUGAAGGUCUUCGGAUCGUAAAACUCUGUUAUUAGGGAAGAACAAAUGUGUAAGUAACUAUGCACGUCUUGACGGUACCUAAUCAGAAAGCCACGGCUAACUACGUG
This 496-nucleotide ribosomal RNA is filed under the name uncultured bacterium. RNAcentral describes it as "partial 16S ribosomal RNA". It matches the Rfam family "Bacterial small subunit ribosomal RNA", at positions 29 to 507 of the family's 1533-position model. The record is from RNAcentral.